This 345-nucleotide non-coding RNA is filed under the name uncultured fungus. The record is from RNAcentral. RNAcentral also lists the same sequence under 1 other name. Lineage: Eukaryota; Fungi.
AGAGUUAAAAGUACGUGAAAUUGCUAAAAGGGAAACAUUUGACACCAGUAUUUGGGAGUCGGAAAUCAGCCUCGGUAUACUGGGGUGCACUUUCCGGCUACCAGGUCAACAUCAGUUUCGUCUGCCGUAAAAAAGCCAAGAGAAGGUAGGUGUUAAUUCACUGUUAUAGCUCUGGCCGAUGCGGUGGAUGGGACUGAGGACUGCGGUGCAUGCCUUUGGCUGGGUUCGCGGCAGCUGUGUGGGACGGGGCUAUGGACAGCUUGCUGACUAUGGCUCUACUCUUAUGCAAUCUGUCGUACAACCACAAAUGCACCUAGGAUGUUGACGAAAUGGUUUUAAACGACC